Mirounga angustirostris (Northern elephant seal) is the source of this 1614-nucleotide long non-coding RNA. RefSeq lists it as uncharacterized. The record is from RefSeq and is a predicted model, not a curated record. The transcript has 2 exons. Lineage: Eukaryota; Metazoa; Chordata; Mammalia; Carnivora; Phocidae.
CACUACGCUAAGUAAUUACUAGUCUGUUUAUGUGUCCCUGUAUAUUUUGCUAAACAUGCAUGCAUUAUUUGUUUAAUAGAAGAAAAUAUAUACAGGGCAAAGACGUGCCUUCCAGGGGAAACGUUUAAAUUAGGUUAGCUUUUGCCUGUGGUAAAGAUGCCGGAAACUGCACCCCACCCCCAUUUUGUGAGAACUACUUUGUCCAAGGAGAGGAGGGAGGUGGAUUGUGCUUUUAAAUGUCUGUGUGCAGAAUAUUUGCCAGAGAAUGCCAAGAGAUUGUUAUUUGGGGUCCCCAAAGCUGUAGUACACCCUUUAACCAUUCCUUGUUAAAGGUAGCUGUUCUCACUAAUGAGUAUCUUUUUCUUUGAACCUUUUUACAGUCAACCCAUGGGGGUGAUGGAGAGAGGGGGCUGUCACAUUUCAUGUCCCUUCACACUGUGUUUUAUAAUGACUGAAAUCUUACUGGGAAGUUUCUAGAGUUCUUUCAGGCCUAGAGACCAGAACUUAUUUUACUGAUUGAGUUACUCUUUUCUUUACUGUCCUAAACUUCAAACUUGUUUCUUCUAUAUUGCAUAUAAAUUUUUGCCCUGAGCAUCAUAGAAAUGAUCUUCCAAAUUUUCUCCCAUCAAGCUGUAGAUCACAGAACAUAAUCUAAAAAGGCUAUAGCUAUAAUUUAAAAUCCUAUUCUAUCCUUUCAAGAAUGGCCAGAAUAUUCUGAAAGUUUACCACACAGGGAGGUCUCCAGUGGUACUUUUAUCCAGUAGCUUCAACAUUGAGUCUUACUCCUACAGUAAGUACAGACUUACUGUACUGUUUUGGUUCUUUUUGGGUCUGGCCAUUUCUGCUCUAUCUUGGGUGGAAAGACUCACUAGACUUUAUGCCUUUUAAUUUGCCUUAAGUUGGAGCCUAAAGUACGGUUGUCUUGCUUGAUGAUAACACCUUUGCUAUUAGACUGAGUGGGUUUGUUCUCUUAAUCCGUUGUUUCUGUUUUGGUGCCUUGGCAGGACAUUUCCUUGGUUCCAUUAUUUUAUAUGUAUGUCUUUUCUGCUUAUGAGUUGACUUAUGUUUUGACUCACUGGUGAGCCAGUUACCCUGUUUCCCCAUUCUUUUGCUGGUUUCUUUAGAGAUUUUCCUUACUGUGCCACUUACCUACCAGGUAGUCUAGUUUUGAUUGGGAAAGCCAUGGCUGUAUAGUAUAUACCUAGACUUUGGUUUUUACAUGCAAUUCUGAACUCCCUACCUUCAUGGACCUUGAUAGGAGCCCCUGAUUUAAUCUGUUCUGGUUUUAAUAGGUCCUUUAUGUAACUUACCUAGCUACUUAUUCCUAGAUCCCCAUCAGUUUGCCCUGGUUCAUCUCCAUUUAGCCCAGAAAGCUGUAGAUCUCUGGCACUGUCUUUGCUCUUCUGCACAGUUCACUGCCUUUCUGCCGUGGUUCCAUCUGGUUGCUUUGAGAUUUUUAGGGGCUUCCCACCAUGGUUAGAUGGAAUAGGGUUUAGUGUCCUUCAGGCUGGUCCUUGCUUUCCACUAGGUUUCUGCCUUUUGCUAGGACUUGAAACAGAUUGUCCUUGCCUCUUUUCCCCACUUAAAAAUAAAUAAAACUUGAGAAGUUAAGGU